Molecule: long non-coding RNA, 943 nt
Organism: Lolium rigidum
Lineage: Eukaryota; Viridiplantae; Streptophyta; Magnoliopsida; Poales; Poaceae
Exons: 3
Source: RefSeq, a predicted model, not a curated record
GCUGUCUCGAUUGACUGGCGGUGCAGCCAAUCCGAUAAGCAAGUAACCAUAACAUCGAUUGCUGUGACCUGCCUCUGUGUUCAUGGGAGGUGGUGAAAAUGAAUCUGUUCAGACUAGCAGAAGUGCAGUCAAGUCAAAGAGCUCCGCAAAAAAGACAAAUUGGAGAACUUUUUGGGAGAUUCUAAAGUUGCACUGUUCAUGGUCCCUGAUCUGCAUUUUUUGUCGUUUUUGCUGAGAAUAGAAUAUAUGGUUUUUCGUAUUGAAAAUUCACACACAGGUUUUCAAAAUGACACGUCCUUUGCUCGUUUCUUGUGUGUGAAUGGCGUCAGUCACUACCUCCGUAUCAGUCACGAACUAGCCAGAGACUGCAAAAUCAGAGAGCUCACCGCAGCUCAGCUCAGUCUCACAGGUAGCUGCACCUACGGCGACGGAAGAGAUCACCCGGCGCUGUGUCGCUCCACCGCCAUGGCGUCCAGGUGUGACCAUUGUGAAGCAAAAGAACAGAGCACACCAGCUCUAGGAGCGACCGUAACACAUAAACCCGAACUUCUGGAACACAAAUUCCAGAUAUAGCCAAAAUGAGCUGCAGUGUAGCAUCGACUCAGUGUAAACAGUGUAGGAUGGGCCAAAUAACUGGACGAAGGGAACACCUGCGAACAUGGUUGUACGAGCAAGAAGGCGAUCCACAGGAGCAUCUGCUGAUGUGCUUCGCAAUGGCACAAUGUAUAGAUCUUGGUUCAAAGAGAAAGAUGGGGUAACAAAGCUUCAAGGUGCAUAUAUAUGUACAUAUGAAUGACUGUGUGAUGGAUUUUCACAAGAACCAGCAUGUAGUAUAUACUUUGAUGAGUUUGUGGUUGCCUACAAACUGACUGACUAGUUGUGAUGUGUGAAUGAAUCACUCCUCGAGUAUAGUACAGUAUGAAGCAUGAACAUUUCUCCUUCA